Heterocephalus glaber (naked mole-rat) is the source of this 1632-nucleotide non-coding RNA. NCBI's taxonomy places the organism in Eukaryota, Metazoa, Chordata, Mammalia, Rodentia, Bathyergidae. The record is from RefSeq and is a predicted model, not a curated record.
AUGGAAACGCAGUCCGCGGCCUCCUGGCCCCACCCCGGCCCAGGAGCUCCCGCGCCCCAAGGGCCUCCAGCUUCUCUGGGCCCAGGGCCACCAACGGGGAUCCUCGGCGGCCCGUGGCACCCCACGGGGUCCAAGGAAGUCCACGGAGACUCGUGGCCUCUCGCGGGCGCGUGUGCGGCGGGCGAAGGGCCUGCCGGCGGGGCGAGGGCGCCGCCCGACCCCACCUCCCCGCGCUCCGGCCCGGGCGCCCGUGCCGGGGUGACGCCUCCUCCCGUCGGCGCUGCCUUUCCCGCUGCACGACUCUCCCCACAGACCCGGACCCUGGCGUCCCGCAGCCGAGUCCCCUCGUCGCCGGUGGUGUCCGAGAGACCUGCGAUCGCGCACCGUCCGCGGCAAGCGCGACUCUUCCCUAAUGUGAGUCUCCUGGUCUGACCCAGAGACGCUGCAGGGGCUCAACGCGGCCUCAGCUUGACAGCUCCCUCACUUCUCUGCUGCAUCACUUGGGAGAGUCUCCCAAAGAAGGACUUGGGCGAACUCUGCCAGCGUGCAAGGGGCCGCAUCCGCUGCAGCUUCUAACGCCAGCAGGGCCAGGUCAGUGAGCAGCGGGCCACUGGAGCGCCCUCAUUGUCUGGCUGUAUAACGACCUCUCCCAAAGGACACUGGACACUCUGCAAGCUCGGCGGCCCAGGCUGUGCUGUCAGAGUCACAGCGAACACCUGACCUGUCCCCCAGGCCCUGUCAAUGCCACAUAGCUGUGUCUGGCUGAGCUGGGGCCCGGACACCACUCUGAACAACUCUCAGGUGGCUUCGGGAUGCUUGGGCAUCGACAUUUCCACACAACACACCCUCCUGAGGAUGUCACCUGCAGAUGGUCUGAAUUCCAACUUCUCCUUAAGCCAGGAGUCCUCAGCCUGCCGCUGAAGUUAAAUACGGUGCAAAGCAGCCACAGCUCUCCGCAUGUGAGGGCAGCUGGGUGGGGAGGGGCUGCGCCUGGGGCAUGAACGGCCGGGUCCCCCUGGCAGAGAAGGCCCUGUCCGAAGGCUAUGCUCGCCUCCGAUACCAUGACACUUCCUUGCUCAUCUGGCAGCAGCAGCAGCAGAAGUUGGAAUCUGUGCCGCCUGGGACCUACCUGAGCAGGAGCCAAAGCAUGUGGUACUCGAAGUACGGAAAUGAGGCCAUCUUAGUCCGAGACAAAAACAAGCUUGAGGUCUGCCGGGACACAGAUUGCAAAGCUGAUGUUAUAGAACUGGGGUUGCCUACGUUGAUUUCUUUGAAACAGUCCUCAAGAGACCUGGCAUGGAUACAAGGAAAACUGAACGAACAACAUAAAAAUUAGAACGUGCUGGAGCUGAAAAGUGUCUAUACUUGUAAGUCUCCAAAGUUUAUACAAAAAAAAAUGAAAAAAAGAAAAAUCUGAAACCACCAAAACACCACACCCAAAAGCCAGCAAGCCCAGGAAGAGCGCGGACUGAGGACCGACAUGAUGAGCACCCGGCAGGGAGCGGGCUGAGCGGGCUUGGUCUCCUCCGCCCAAGGGGCUGAGUCGCUGCUGCUGUGUUUAAUGCACUUCUUUUACGGUUCUGUGUUUUUCUUUGCUUUUUUUCUUUUUUUUCUUUUUUUUAAAAAAAAUGA